GACGAACGCUGGCGGCGUGCCUAAUACAUGCAAGUCGAGCGGCCUGAUUAAUAGCUUGCUCUUAUGACGUUAGCGGCGGACGGGUGAGUUACACGUGGGCAUCCUCUCCUGUAGAUCGUGAUACCACCGAGAAAUCGUUGCUAAUACCUGCUAAUAUCUGAUAUCACAUGGUCUUAUGUUAAAAGAUGGCUCCGGCUAUCACUACUGGCUGGUCCCCCGGCGCAUUAGCUAGUUGGUAAGGUAAUGGCUUACCAAGGCGACGUUGCGUAGCCGACCUGAGAGGGUGAGAGGCCACACUGGGACUGAGAGACGGCCCAGAAUCCUACGGGAGGCAGCAGUAGGGAAUCCUCCGCAAUGGACGAAAGUGUGACGGAGAAACGCCGCGUGAGUGAUGAAGGGGUUCGGCUCGUAAAGCGCUGUUGUUAGGGAAGAAACAGUACUGAACGAAAUAGGGCGGUACCUUGACGGUACCGAACCAGAAAGCAACGGCUAACUACGUG
Molecule: ribosomal RNA, 500 nt
Filed under: uncultured bacterium
Lineage: Bacteria
Description: partial 16S ribosomal RNA
Rfam family: Bacterial small subunit ribosomal RNA
Source: RNAcentral